CCGGGCGGAACUAGCGCGGUGGUCCCACCUGACCCCUUCCCUUAAGCAUUUGUUAACCGCCGUAGCGCCGAUGGUAGUGUGGGGUCUCCCCAUGCGAGAGUAGGGAACUGCCAGGC
This 116-nucleotide ribosomal RNA is filed under the name Salmonella enterica. Lineage: Bacteria; Pseudomonadati; Pseudomonadota; Gammaproteobacteria; Enterobacterales; Enterobacteriaceae. The record is from RNAcentral.